Long non-coding RNA from Homo sapiens (human), 3079 nucleotides. Ensembl annotates it as long intergenic non-protein coding RNA 1471. The record is from Ensembl. NCBI's taxonomy places the organism in Eukaryota, Metazoa, Chordata, Mammalia, Primates, Hominidae.
AUGGGAACUGGGGGGAGCAAAGAGUGGGGAACUGGGCAGGCAGACACCCCCACAGAGCACUCAUGGCCCCCACAGAAAUACACCCACACUCAUCACAGCAAACCAAAACAAUCACACGCCGGUACACAAACACACACACCCCCGCACCAAUCCAGGCAGACACAAAGCUCACGGCGACAGGCAGAUCUGAUUCACACAGACACAGGCACAGGUGCUUCCUGAUGCCACCCUCUCUUGGUCACGUGCCAGCACUUGGAGGGAGGAAAGUGCCUCACCAGGCUGAGAUGCCCAAGGGACCCCCCAGGGAGGGAAAGCAGGACACACUGGGACAGUUGCUUCCAGCCCUGUCCACACCCUUGUGCCCAUCAGGUAUGCCGCUCACCCCCACCCCACCUGGACCUUGGUGUCACCUAGGAUUGCAGAGGCCGCCUUCAGCCCAGAGCCUGGGGCCUUGCCCACUGCCUCACCUCCCAGGAUAGGGCAUGCUGUUCCUUUCUCCUUCCCUUUCUUUGCUCUUGUGUGCCUGCCUUUAGCAAACGCCCACUGGGUGUGUGGGUACACUGCGGCCUUUAAAGAGAAGAGAAACACAUGAGGCUUACAGCAGGAGGCCCUGCCUAGGUUCCAAGGGACAUGGAGCAGGGUGGCUGUGUAGAGCUGGGGAGCAUCCCAAGCCUGUGCCAAGGUUCCAAGGACAAAAAGGGCAAGGAGGCCCAGUGCGGGGUGGUGGGGGAGCAGCUAGCCAGGGCCAACAGUGAGCCUCGCGCCUGGGCAGGUGUAGCCUUUAAACGCGGUGGGGGAACCAUGGACAGCAUCUAAGCAGGGACGUGCCGUGAGUCCUGGGGGUGCAGGGGUGUCUAGAGGGGAAGCUGGGAAGCAGGGGUCACAGCUUUCCGACUGGUGGCUGAGUGUGGGGAAGACAGGAGGGGCAGGUGUGAGAUGUACAGCAGACACAGCUGUGUGCUGGGGCAUGGUGGGCUGUGGUGAGAGAGAGGAGCAGGUCUUCUCCCCGCGUGUUCAGAGCAGAUCCAAACUCUUCUCCCAUUCCUUCCUCCACCGUGCAUCCUCAGCACCCCUCAGCACUGGCCUGUGUGGGCAGCGUGAGCACAGAGAGCAGGAGCUUGCCCUCAGAGGCUUCAGGGGGUCGCUUGUACCCAGUGGUAUGGUCAGCAUCAUGUUUGACCAAAGGGAGGAAGGUGGCUGUGACCAGAGCGAGGGGGGGUCCUGAUGCAGCUGGGGAGUCAGGCUCGAGUGCAUGCUGUGCAUGUUCUCUGCCUCUCUUCCUGGGGGGCAGGCGAGUCUCCAGAGCCUGGAGGACAAGUUAGCCUUGCGAAGGAUAGCAGAGGACCCAGCCCAGGGGUCCCCAAAAUGGAGCACCAACCCUCCAUGCAGGCCAAGCCACUGGUGAAUAUGCUGCAAAAAAUAUGCUGGAACUUCUAUGAAUACCACAGGGUGUGAGAAGAAAACAUUAGAACUUCUAUUUUGUACCUGUGUUACUCCACAACAAGAAAGCAAUCAGCUUGAUCAAUGCCUACUGUAAAGACGGCACCGCCCUCCGGAGGUCCUUUCUCAGCCCUGGUGUUCGGACAGCCACAUCCCCUCGCAGCAGGGGGAGGCCUGAAGCAUAGAGGGGCCCAUGCAGGUCUAUUCUGUUUCAGCGAAUUGCCUGGGAAAUAAUCCAGGAUCCAUUUCGUGUGGUCAUCUUGUCUCCCUGGUCCCCUCCAGCCUUUCCUCAUCUUUUGUGACCUGGUCACUCUGGAAGGGCGCUGGCCAGUUAGUCCACAGGAUGGGCCUCCCCUGGGGCUUUUCUGAUGCUUCCUUAUGAUGGCACUGGCAUCCUGAGGGGGAGGACCACAGAGAGGAGGUGCUCCUCAUCACACCACAUGGGGGUCCAUGCACCAGUGCCACUGCUUUCCAGGGCUCUUCACCUUCAUCACUGGUGGAGGUGGCGUCUGCCAAGAAGCAGAAAGUUGAGGCUUAGAAGGUGCACGGCCCUACCUCUUCCGAGGUGCCCCUGCGGGCUGUCUACAGACCAGGCAGCACAUGCCUGAUAGCAGCUGCAUAAGGAAAAGCAGGAGCCAGCUCGUGCACAGUGGCCUCAAGUGUGCACUGGGCAUGUUCUCUGCCUCACCAUCCCUGUGUGACAGAUGAAGCAUGACAGCCCUCAACAGAAGCCAAGGCCAAGUCCUCGAACUUCCUAGUCUGCACAAUGACACUUCUGAUGAAACUGAAAAUGCCACCAGGGAGAAGCAGCUGAACUUCAAGGACCACAGAGGGCCAAGUGCAGGAGUAAGAGGCUGGCGUGCUGACAGUGGCCAAGGGCAUUGGAGGGAAGGACCUGUCAUCACUGGGCCAAGGAAGGAACUCCAGACUGCCUACUUCCAGAGGGCCUGCUGAGGAAUUUUAGCUUGAACUUGCCUGCCUUGACUAGGGCUUUCUGAGCAGCAGAUGAUUCUGCAAUGGUGUUAGUCCAGGCCUGGUUCUGCAUGACAUUGACCAUACUGUGCACCCUGGGGUCAUUAUGUCUUGGGCUUCAAGGGGCUCCAUGGGCUCCAGGGGGCUCCAUGUGACACUGCACAGAGCUCUCUCUAGGUCACCUGGAUGUGUCUCUUCCUAGGAACCCCAAAGAGCUCUCUCAACAAACACACCCACGAGUUCCAGGAGUGAGGCUGCAGGGAACAGCCUCACUCUCAGAGGGGAUACAGAAUUGUUCCACUGGACAAGGGCUGGGAUCGUCAUAGGAUGCCGUUGGCCUGUGGUUUCCAACAGAGGUGCAGUUCAUUGAACUGUGGUCUACAGUCCAUUCUCUAACUUGGGGACCCUUGAAGAAGUGUGGAAUCAUGACAACAACCCUGUUGGGAGACACUAUUAUUCCCAUCACAUGGAUGAGCACACGGAGGCAAAAGGAAGUUAUAUGAUUGUCUGAGAUCACCCAGUGAAGACUGUGUGGCUGGGAGUUGUCCCCAGUGUUAUCUGCACGCUGCUUCCUUUUGAUGCCUGGCCCUUCUUUAUCAAAAGAAGCAUUGGCAGAAUCUGGGUGUUUAUGGGUCAGCUCAAAAUAAAUUACUUUAUAUGUCAUUCA